UUAAGCGACUAAGCGUACACGGUGGAUGCCCUGGCAGUCAGAGGCGAUGAAGGACGUGCUAAUCUGCGAUAAGCGCCGGUAAGGUGAUAUGAACCGUUAUAACCGGCGAUUUCCGAAUGGGGAAACCCAGUGUGAUUCGUCACACUAUCAUUAACUGAAUCCAUAGGUUAAUGAGGCGAACCGGGGGAACUGAAACAUCUAAGUACCCCGAGGAAAAGAAAUCAACCGAGAUUCCCCCAGUAGCGGCGAGCGAACGGGGAGGAGCCCAGAGCCUGAAUCAGCAUGUGUGUUAGUGGAAGCGUCUGGAAAGGCGCGCGAUACAGGGUGACAGCCCCGUACACAAAAGCGCAUGUGUUGUGAGCUCGAUGAGUAGGGCGGGACACGUGGUAUCCUGUCUGAAUAUGGGGGGACCAUCCUCCAAGGCUAAAUACUCCUGACUGACCGAUAGUGAACCAGUACCGUGAGGGAAAGGCGAAAAGAACCCCGGCGAGGGGAGUGAAAAAGAACCUGAAACCGUGUACGUACAAGCAGUGGGAGCCCCACCACUAAGCCAGUGGUGAACUCCACAUACGCAUCCUUUGCUGAGGAUACGGUUAACGGAGCGCAAGCGACGUUCAACCGCAAAAGAAGCAGAGGGGGCUUAGUGGUGGGGUGACUGCGUACCUUUUGUAUAAUGGGUCAGCGACUUAUAUUCUGUAGCAAGGUUAACCGUAUAGGGGAGCCGGAGGGAAACCGAGUCUUAAUUGGGCGUUAAGUUGCAGGGUAUAGACCCGAAACCCGGUGAUCUAGCCAUGGGCAGGUUGAAGGUUGGGUAACACUAACUGGAGGACCGAACCGACUAAUGUUGAAAAAUUAGCGGAUGACCUGUGGCUGGGGGUGAAAGGCCAAUCAAACCGGGAGAUAGCUGGUUCUCCCCGAAAGCUAUUUAGGUAGCGCCUCGUGAAUUCAUCUCCGGGGGUAGAGCACUGUUUCGGCUAGGGGGCCAUCCCGGCUUACCAACCCGAUGCAAACUGCGAAUACCGGAGAAUGUUAUCACGGGAGACACACGGCGGGUGCUAACGUCCGUCGUGAAGAGGGAAACAACCCAGACCGCCAGCUAAGGUCCCAAAGUCAUGGUUAAGUGGGAAACGAUGUGGGAAGGCCCAGACAGCCAGGAUGUUGGCUUAGAAGCAGCCAUCAUUUAAAGAAAGCGUAAUAGCUCACUGGUCGAGUCGGCCUGCGCGGAAGAUGUAACGGGGCUAAACCAUGCACCGAAGCUGCGGCAGCGAGUAAUAGCUCACUGGUCGAGUCGGCCUGCGCGGAAGAUGUAACGGGGCUAAACCAUGCACCGAAGCUGCGGCAGCGAACGUAUCACUUAAAGCGAUUCAGCGGGUUACGAUUGACGGAGCGAAGCGACGUCAAAGCGUAUACAAAGUCGAGUCGGUUUAAGGAUACGUUCGUUGGGUAGGGGAGCGUUCUGUAAGCCUGUGAAGGUGUGUCGUGAGGCAUGCUGGAGGUAUCAGAAGUGCGAAUGCUNGUUGGGUAGGGGAGCGUUCUGUAAGCCUGUGAAGGUGGCCUGUGAGGGUUGCUGGAGGUAUCAGAAGUGCGAAUGCUGACAUAAGUAACGAUAAAGCGGGUGAAAAGCCCGCUCGCCGGAAGACCAAGGGUUCCUGUCCAACGUUAAUCGGGGCAGGGUGAGUCGACCCCUAAGGCGAGGCCGAAAGGCGUAGUCGAUGGGAAACGGGUUAAUAUUCCCGUACUUGGUGUUACUGCGAAGGGGGGACGGAGAAGGCUAUGUUGGCCGGGCGACGGUUGUCCCGGUUUAAGCGUGUAGGUGUGUGUUCCAGGUAAAUCCGGUUCACUUUAACACUGAGGCGUGAUGACGAGGCACUACGGUGCUGAAGCAACAAAUGCCCUGCUUCCAGGAAAAGCCUCUAAGCAUCAGGUAACAUCAAAUCGUACCCCAAACCGACACAGGUGGUCAGGUAGAGAAUACCAAGGCGCUUGAGAGAACUCGGGUGAAGGAACUAGGCAAAAUGGUGCCGUAACUUCGGGAGAAGGCACGCUGACAUGUAGGUGAAGUGAUUUACUCAUGGAGCUGAAGUCAGUCGAAGAUACCAGCUGGCUGCAACUGUUUAUUAAAAACACAGCACUGUGCAAACACGAAAGUGGACGUAUACGGUGUGACGCCUGCCCGGUGCCGGAAGGUUAAUUGAUGGGGUCAGCGCAAGCGAAGCUCCUGAUCGAAGCCCCGGUAAACGGCGGCCGUAACUAUAACGGUCCUAAGGUAGCGAAAUUCCUUGUCGGGUAAGUUCCGACCUGCACGAAUGGCGUAAUGAUGGCCAGGCUGUCUCCACCCGAGACUCAGUGAAAUUGAACUCGCUGUGAAGAUGCAGUGUACCCGCGGCAAGACGGAAAGACCCCGUGAACCUUUACUAUAGCUUGACACUGAACAUUGAGCCUUGAUGUGUAGGAUAGGUGGGAGGCUUUGAAGNAGACCCCGUGAACCUUUACUAUAGCUUGACACUGAACAUUGAGCCUUGAUGUGUAGGAUAGGUGGGAGGCUUUGAAGUGUGGACGCCAGUCUGCAUGGAGCCGACCUUGAAAUACCACCCUUUAAUGUUUGAUGUUCUAACGUGGACCCGUAAUCCGGGUUGCGGACAGUGUCUGGUGGGUCCUUGAAAUACCACCCUUUAAUGUUUGAUGUUCUAACGUGGACCCGUGAUCCGGGUUGCGGACAGUGUCUGGUGGGUAGUUUGACUGGGGCGGUCUCCUCCUAAAGAGUAACGGAGGAGCACGAAGGUUGGCUAAUCCUGGUCGGACAUCAGGAGGUUAGUGCAAUGGCAUAAGCCAGCUUGACUGCGAGCGUGACGGCGCGAGCAGGUGCGAAAGCAGGUCAUAGUGAUCCGGUGGUUCUGAAUGGAAGGGCCAUCGCUCAACGGAUAAAAGGUACUCCGGGGAUAACAGGCUGAUACCGCCCAAGAGUUCAUAUCGACGGCGGUGUUUGGCACCUCGAUGUCGGCUCAUCACAUCCUGGGGCUGAAGUAGGUCCCAAGGGUAUGGCUGUUCGCCAUUUAAAGUGGUACGCGAGCUGGGUUUAGAACGUCGUGAGACAGUUCGGUCCCUAUCUGCCGUGGGCGCUGGAGAACUGAGGGGGGCUGCUCCUAGUACGAGAGGACCGGAGUGGACGCAUCACUGGUGUUCGGGUUGUCAUGCCAAUGGCACUGCCCGGUAGCUAAAUGCGGAAGAGAUAAGUGCUGAAAGCAUCUAAGCACGAAACUUGCCCCGAGAUGAGUUCUCCCUGAGACUUAAAGUCUCCUGAAGGAACGUUGAAGACGACGACGUUGAUAGGCCGGGUGUGUAAGCGCAGCGAUGCGUUGAGCUAACCGGUACUAAUGAACCGUGAGGCUUAACCUU
Molecule: ribosomal RNA, 3396 nt
Filed under: Salmonella enterica subsp. enterica serovar Derby
Lineage: Bacteria; Pseudomonadati; Pseudomonadota; Gammaproteobacteria; Enterobacterales; Enterobacteriaceae
Description: bacterial LSU rRNA
Rfam family: Bacterial large subunit ribosomal RNA
Source: RNAcentral